ACGAACGCUGGCGGCGUGCUUAACACCUGCAAGUCGAACGGAAAGGCCCUGCUUUUGUGGGGUGCUCGAGUGGCGAACGGGUGAGUAACACGUGAGUAACCUGCCCUUGACUUUGGGAUAACUUCAGGAAACUGGGGCUAAUACCGGAUAGGAGCUCCUGCUGCAUGGUGGGGGUUGGAAAGUUUCGGCGGUUGGGGAUGGACUCGCGGCUUAUCAGCUUGUUGGUGGGGUAGUGGCUUACCAAGGCUUUGACGGGUAGCCGGCCUGAGAGGGUGACCGGCCACAUUGGGACUGAGAUACGGCCCAGACUCCUACGGGAGGCAGCAGUGGGGAAUAUUGCACAAUGGGCGGAAGCCUGAUGCAGCAACGCCGCGUGCGGGAUGACGGCCUUCGGGUUGUAAACCGCUUUCGCCUGUGACGAAGCGUGAGUGAUGGUAAUGGGUAAAGAAGCACCGGCUAACUACGUG
RNAcentral lists this ribosomal RNA (467 nucleotides) under uncultured bacterium. RNAcentral's name for it is "partial 16S ribosomal RNA". It matches the Rfam family "Bacterial small subunit ribosomal RNA", at positions 29 to 507 of the family's 1533-position model. The record is from RNAcentral.